RNAcentral lists this ribosomal RNA (497 nucleotides) under uncultured bacterium. RNAcentral's name for it is "partial 16S ribosomal RNA". It matches the Rfam family "Bacterial small subunit ribosomal RNA", at positions 28 to 507 of the family's 1533-position model. The record is from RNAcentral.
GAUGAACGCUGGCGGCGUGCCUAAUACAUGCAAGUCGAGCGAACAGACGAGGAGCUUGCUCCUCUGACGUUAGCGGCGGACGGGUGAGUAACACGUGGAUAACCUACCUAUAAGACUGGGAUAACUUCGGGAAACCGGAGCUAAUACCGGAUAAUAUAUUGAACCGCAUGGUUCAAUAGUGAAAGACGGUUUUGCUGUCACUUAUAGAUGGAUCCGCGCCGCAUUAGCUAGUUGGUAAGGUAACGGCUUACCAAGGCAACGAUGCGUAGCCGACCUGAGAGGGUGAUCGGCCACACGGGAGCUGAGACACGGUCCAGACUCCUACGGGAGGCAGCAGUAGGGAAUCUUCCGCAAUGGGCGAAAGCCUGACGGAGCAGCGCGGCGUGAGUGAUGAAGGUCUUCGGAUCGUAAAACUCUGUUAUUAGGGAAGAACAAAUGUGUAAGUAACUAUGCACGUCUUGACGGUACCUAAUCAGAAAGCCACGGCUAACUACGUG